This 415-nucleotide ribosomal RNA is filed under the name uncultured Symbiodinium. RNAcentral describes it as "partial Bacterial large subunit ribosomal RNA". It matches the Rfam family "Bacterial large subunit ribosomal RNA", at positions 507 to 927 of the family's 2925-position model. Lineage: Eukaryota; Dinophyceae; Suessiales; Symbiodiniaceae. The record is from RNAcentral.
GGGAAAGGUGAAAAGCACCCCGACGAGGGGAGUGAAAGAGACCCUGAAACCGAAUGCUUACAAUCAGUCGGAGCCCGCAAGGGUGACUGCGUACCUUUUGUAUAAUGGGUCAGCGAGUUGGUCUUGCGAGCGAGCUUAAGCCGUUAGGUGUAGGCGUAGCGAAAGCGAGUCUUAAUAGGGCGAUUGAGUUCGUAGGAUUAGACCCGAAACCGGGUGAUCUAGCCAUGAGCAGGCUGCAGGUGGGGUAACACCCACUGAAGGGCCGAACCCACUAGCGUUGAAAAGCUACGGGAUGACUUGUGGUUAGGGGUGAAAGGCCAAUCAAACCCGGAGAUAGCUGGUUCUCCGCGAAAACUAUUUAGGUAGUGCGUCGAGUAUUACCUUCGGGGGUAGAGCACUGGAUGGGCUAGGGGGC